GCAGCAGUAGCUCAGUCGUUAAGACGUUGGACUACUGAUCAAGAGGUCAUGAGUUCAAUCCCCCGCCACUGCU
Molecule: non-coding RNA, 73 nt
Organism: Pangasius djambal
Lineage: Eukaryota; Metazoa; Chordata; Actinopteri; Siluriformes; Pangasiidae
Source: the annotation of a GenBank genome assembly